This 71-nucleotide transfer RNA is filed under the name Mus musculus (house mouse). RNAcentral's name for it is "tRNA-Ile". The record is from RNAcentral. Lineage: Eukaryota; Metazoa; Chordata; Mammalia; Rodentia; Muridae.
GAGAUGGCUCAGUGGUUAAGAGCACUGACUGAUCUUGCAGAGGUUCUGAGUUCAAGUCCCAGCAAAUCACA